Molecule: ribosomal RNA, 253 nt
Filed under: uncultured bacterium
Lineage: Bacteria
Description: partial 16S ribosomal RNA
Rfam family: Bacterial small subunit ribosomal RNA
Source: RNAcentral
UACGGAGGGUGCAAGCGUUAAUCGGAAUUACUGGGCGUAAAGCGCGCGCAGGCGGUUUGUUAAGUCAGAUGUGAAAUCCCCGGGCUCAACCUGGGAACUGCAUUUGAGACUGGCAAGCUUGAGUAUGGUAGAGGGGGGUGGAAUUCCCAGUGUAGCGGUGAAAUGCGUAGAGAUUGGGAGGAACACCGGUGGCGAAGGCGGCCCCCUGGACCGAGACUGACGCUCAGGUGCGAAAGCGUGGGGAGCAAACAGG